CCUACGGGUGGCUGCAGUGGGGAAUCUUGCACAAUGGGGGAAACCCUGAUGCAGCGACGCCGCGUGAGCGAUGAAGCCCUUCGGGGUGUAAAGCUCUUUCGGCAGGGAAGAUAAUGACGGUACCUGCAGAAGCAGCUGCGGCUAACUACGUGCCAGCAGCCGCGGUAAUACGUAGGCAGCAAGCGUUGUUCGGAGUUACUGGGCGUAAAGGGUGUGUAGGCGGUUCUUUAAGUUUGGUGUGAAAUCUCCCGGCUCAACUGGGAGGGUGCGCCGAAUACUGAGGGACUAGAGUACGGGAGAGGAAAGUGGAAUUCCUGGUGUAGCGGUGAAAUGCGUAGAUAUCAGGAGGAACACCGGUGGUGUAAACGGCUUUCUGGACCGUAACUGACGCUGAGACACGAAAGCGUGGGUAGCAAACAGGAUUAGAUACCCCGGUAGUC
Molecule: ribosomal RNA, 440 nt
Filed under: uncultured bacterium
Lineage: Bacteria
Description: partial 16S ribosomal RNA
Rfam family: Bacterial small subunit ribosomal RNA
Source: RNAcentral